GAAUAUUGGACAAUGGGCGAAAGCCUGAUCCAGCAAUGCCGCGUGAGUGAUGAAGGCCCUAGGGUUGUAAAGCUCUUUUACCCGGGAAGAUAAUGACUGUACCGGGAGAAUAAGCCCCGGCUAACUCCGUGUCAGCAGCCGCGGUAAUACGGAGGGGGCUAGCGUUGUUCGGAAUUACUGGGCGUAAAGCGCACGUAGGCGGCUUUGUAAGUUAGAGGUGAAAGCCCGGGGCUCAACCCCGGAAUUGCCUUUAAGACUGCAUCGCUUGAACGUCGGAGAGGUGAGUGGAAUUCCGAGUGUAGAGGUGAAAUUCGUAGAUAUUCGGAAGAACACCAGUGGCGAAGGCGGCUCACUGGACGACUGUUGACGCUGAGGUGCGAAAGCGUGGGGAGCAAACAG
Molecule: ribosomal RNA, 399 nt
Filed under: uncultured bacterium
Lineage: Bacteria
Description: bacterial SSU rRNA
Rfam family: Bacterial small subunit ribosomal RNA
Source: RNAcentral